ACAGAUGGUAGUCUUGGCAGAAGCCUU
RNAcentral lists this non-coding RNA (27 nucleotides) under Homo sapiens (human). The record is from RNAcentral. Lineage: Eukaryota; Metazoa; Chordata; Mammalia; Primates; Hominidae.